AGGACGAACGCUGGCGGCGUGCCUAAUACAUGCAAGUCGAACGGUCUUUCUAUGGAAGCUUGCUUCCACUGAGAAGAUAGUGGCGAACGGGUGAGUAACACGUGGGUAACCUGCCCAUAAGAGGGGGAUAACAUCCGGAAACGGGUGCUAAUACCGCAUAGUUUUCUUGAUCGCAUGAUCGGGAAAGGAAAGACGGCCUUUGUGCUGUCGCUUGUGGAUGGACCCGCGGCGUAUUAGUUAGUUGGUGAGGUAACGGCUCACCAAGACGAUGAUACGUAGCCGACCUGAGAGGGUGAUCGGCCACAUUGGGACUGAGACACGGCCCAAACUCCUACGGGAGGCAGCAGUAGGGAAUCUUCCGCAAUGGACGAAAGUCUGACGGAGCAACGCCGCGUGAGUGAAAGAAGGUUUUCGGAUCGUAAAACUCUGUUGUCAGAGAAGAACAAGUUGGAGAGUAACUGCUCCAGCCUUGACGGUAUCUGACCAGAAAGCCACGGCUAACUACGUGCCAGCCGCCGC
This 519-nucleotide ribosomal RNA is filed under the name uncultured bacterium. Its description in RNAcentral is "bacterial SSU rRNA". It matches the Rfam family "Bacterial small subunit ribosomal RNA", at positions 26 to 518 of the family's 1533-position model. The record is from RNAcentral.